GAUGAACGCUGGCGGCGUGCCUAACACAUGCAAGUCGAACGGAAGGACAAUAAGCUUGUGGCCUUGUUGUUAGCGGCGGGCGGGUGAGUAACGCGUGCAUCACCUCCUUCUAUUUCGGGGAUAAUAACGGAAAAACGGAUAUAAUAACACAGAAUAUUUUGUACCGCAGGGAGCAAAAGAGAUUGACGGCCUUGGUGUCUGAAAUAGAUGGUUCCGCGCUGGAUUAGCUAGUUGGUAGGGUAACAGCAUACCAAGGCGACGAUGCGUAGCCGAGCUGAGAGGGUGAUCGGCCACACUGGAACUGAGACACGGUCCAGACUCCUACGGGAGGCAGCAGUAGGGAAUCUUGGGCAAUGGGCGAAAGCCUGACGCAGCAACGCCGCGUGAGUGAUGAAGGCCUUCGGGUCGUAAAGCCCUGUUGCUGGGGAAGAACAGCUGUGGGUUUAGACGUGGCUAUCUUGACGGUACCUAAUCAAUAAGCACCGGCUAACUACGUG
This 497-nucleotide ribosomal RNA is filed under the name uncultured bacterium. RNAcentral's name for it is "partial 16S ribosomal RNA". It matches the Rfam family "Bacterial small subunit ribosomal RNA", at positions 28 to 507 of the family's 1533-position model. The record is from RNAcentral.